This 408-nucleotide ribosomal RNA is filed under the name uncultured bacterium. RNAcentral's name for it is "partial 16S ribosomal RNA". It matches the Rfam family "Bacterial small subunit ribosomal RNA", at positions 28 to 526 of the family's 1533-position model. The record is from RNAcentral.
GACGAACGCUGGCGGCGUGCUUAACACAUGCAAGUCGAACGAAGUGGCGAACGGGUGAGUAACGCGUAAUCAACCUGCCCUUCAGGGGGGGAAAACAGUGGGAAACGACUGCUAAUCCCGCAUACUGAAGUGUGUGAUUGCGUUUGUUUAGCUAGGUGGAGGGGUAACGGCCAACCAAGGCGAUGAUCAGUAGCCGGUCUGAGAGGAUGAACGGCCACACUGGGACUGAGACACGGCCCAGACUCCUACGGGAGGCAGCAGUGGGGAAUCUUCCGCAAUGGACGGAAGUCUGACGGAGCAACGCCGCGUGAGUGAUGAAGGCCUUCGGGUUGUAAAGCUCUGUUAAUCGGGACGCGGUACCGGAAUAGAAAGCCACGGCUAACUACGUGCCAGCAGCCGCGGUAAUAC